CUCAAUCAAAGGCAGGAAACACUACAUAUGAAAACUAGGAAGAGCACCAAGGAGUUUGUGCCACAGGUCCUUGAGGAAGCGCCACACUCUC
Molecule: long non-coding RNA, 91 nt
Filed under: Callithrix jacchus (white-tufted-ear marmoset)
Lineage: Eukaryota; Metazoa; Chordata; Mammalia; Primates; Cebidae
Description: lncRNA (ENSCJAG00000071141.1)
Source: RNAcentral